GAAAGUGAAUGUCUUUUGUCGACAGGAAUGCAAGCCAUUUGACAACAGUAAUGGCGUAUGAGAAGGCGCCACAACGACCAUUAGGACAGCAAAUCUAUAAACAACGGAUAAGUGUUCUCAAAUAAUUAGAUAUCAGAGAGAUUUUCUUUUCCUGAUAUUAUUACAUUCAUGGUAGAAAUAAAUGGAAACUGCAGUGAUUUCAAACAUGAGUUUGGUGAUGACAAGGAUUACACCGCGCAUGCUUCGGCCUUCUUUGAUGAAGAGAUAUAUGAACUCCCUCAUGAAUCAUCAAAGACUGUACCCACCAAGCAACCAGAUAUCAUCCAUACAGCAGUCAGACAGCAUCUAAGCACCAUACAAAGCAACCAGACUGUAUCCAGGCACAACACCAAGCAAGCAGACAACAUCCAGGCACAUCACCAAGCAACCAGAGCAUCCAAGCACCACACCAAGCAACCUGACAGCAUUCUAGCAGCCAGACAACAUCCAAGCACCACAUAUAUAGCAACCAGACAUCAUCCAGGCACCACACCUAGCAACCAGACAUCAUCCAGGCACCACAUUAAGGAACCAAACAUCAUCCAGGCACCACACCAAGCAACCGGACAUCAUCCAGGCACCACACCAAGCAACCAGACAUCAUCCAGGCACCACACCAAGCAACCAAACAUCAUCCAGGCACCACACCAAGCAACCGGACAUCAUCCAGGCACCACACCAAGCAACCAGACAUCAUCCAGGCACCACACCAAGCAAACAGACAGCAUCCAGGCACCAUACCAAGCAACCGGGUAUCAUCCAGGCACCACACCAAGCAACCGGACAUAAUCCAGGCACCCUACCAAGCAUCCAGACAGCAUCCAAGCAACCGGACAUCAUCCAGACACCACACUAAGCAACCAGACACCACACUAAGCAACCAGACAGCAUCCAGGUACCAUACCAAGCAACCAGACAGCAUCCAGGCACCAUACCAAGCAACCGGACAUCAUCCAGGCACCACACCAAGCAACCGGACAUCAUGCAGGCACCCUACCAAGCAUCCAGACAGCAUCCAAGCAACCGGACAUCAUCCAGCUAGGCACCACACUAAGCAACCAGACAGCAUCCAGGUACCACACCAAGCAACUAAACAGCAUCCAGAUGCCACACCAAGCAACCAGACAUCAUCCAGGCACCACACCAAGUAACUAGGCAGCAUCGAGGCAUCACACCUAGCAACCAGUGUCAUAAUAUAAUCGCUUAUGCUCCAUUCGAGGCCCCGAGAGAUAAAUACAGAUUUGACAUGAAGGACCAACUUGACUGAACCAUAGAAUGUUGAAACAAUGGCAAUACCACAUGCUAAGGGAGAAACAAAACUCAUUUGCAUACCGACCAGGAUGUGCAUAUCACUGUUUUGUGAAAGAGAGGACACUUUGGAACAUUGGAACCUCUGUCUGGAAAAUGAGUGGAUGUGGGGUAAAUGAACAUUCUCAGUUUAUUGCAUCCAUACAAGUGUACUUAUACACAUACAUACACCCACACACAAAAAAAAUGUUAAUCAAAUAAUGUAUUAUCUAAUAAUAAUUAUUAUCCAAUGUAUUAUCUAACAGUGCGUAUUAGCACCGAAUUCGGAGAGGAUAUUUUUGGACAGAUUCGGCACCCUAUUUGGGUUUUUUUAUUAAUAGAAGAUCAACUUAUUGGUAGCUUUUAGAGUUUUCAGUUUUUGAAUAUUUAAUUUCAAUAAUCAAUUCUGAUUGGUAGAACAAUGCCUAUGCCUAAUGAUCACUAAUGAUAAAGAUCUGAGGGCUCGAAAUUGGGAAAAAAAAUUAGACUAAUUAUGGCCCUAAAAUUCCAGAUAUGGUCACUUCUGAGAAGUAAAUGUGUAUUUCAAUAAUGGAAAAAGUUCUCUUGCAGGUUGUUCUAACAGUGUUCUAACAGAUUUGAGAUUGCAAUUCAAUUAUUUCUUCUGAUGCACAGUAAGAAUUUUGUUUUCAAAGUAUACUCUGACUGUAAAAAGAAACCAUAAUAAGAAUACAAUGCUUAAUAUAGGUUUUGCACUUGGUUAGAUUUGAGUAGUUGAAGAUUCUAGGUGGUGCAAUUAAGGCUGCUAGUUCGUAUCUGCUUCAGAUUAUCAAAAAUAGUUUUGUUAAGAAUUAUGUAUAUCAUUUGAAAAUUGAUUUUUCUUAUGUAUUUCCCAAAAUCGUCCAGGCAAAAUAACGAAUUUUAAAAAUAAGUAAAUGUAUCAUCAGAGGAAUUCAUCGGUAAAUCGGUCUACCAUAUUCUACCUAAUUUCUUAAGUGCACUUGAAAAAUCUGAACUACAAGCACUCUGCAAAUAACAUGUUUGUAAAUUACGUUAUUGGCCUAAAGUUUUUAUUUAUUUUGCCUGGACGAUUGAUUAUUAAAUGAUCAUAUGACACCUCCUUGUUGUAACUUGUAUUUAUUACCCCUCCACCUCUCUCUCCCAUCUAUCCCUCUCUCUCUCUCCUCUCCCUUCCCUCUCUGUCUUCCCCUCAUCCCCCCCCCCCCCUACCAUCUACAGGGGCUUUCACACUUGGUUGCGCGAGCUUUUGAUUCCACUAUAUUUUGCAGACAAUAGUAUUUCUCGCAACUAAUUGUGAAAGCCCUUUAUACAUCCGGUGAACUUCAUGAAAUGUAUGUUCUCAUUUUAACAAUUACUUCAGCAAAAAAUGUAAUAAACUUCCAAUUAUUGAUUUAAAACCUUUUGUGACAGAUGCAAGAAUGCAAGAAAAAUUUGAAAACUUAACGUUAUCCAAAGAAAAUUACUUCUCUUUAGCAUUGUCAAUUCUUGUCUUGUAACUGGUAUUUUUUUUCACACCAUUUUAGUGAAUUAAUAAUUAUCAAAAAUACAAAUCAUAUACUUGAUUAAAAAAUAGAAUACAAAUCAAAUGUGUGACAAAGUAUGCAGCACAUUGUCAGAAAAUGAUCUUCAAACGAAUCUAAAAUUUAUAUUUUGUGAAAUUCACCUUUGUAAACAUACCUGUAAUGUUGCAAAAUGUAUUGUUGUUGGCAAUCAAGAAAUUUUAAUACUUCACACUUAAGGAACAUGGAAAAAGAAUGGGUCGAUUGAUCAAGCAUUCAUUUGAGUGGAUAUUGCAAUAAUUCAUAACAAAUAAUUAAUUCCACAUGGUUGCUAUGGUAGAAAAACUCAUUUCAUUGAAAAGCAGGAAAAAAAUCUGCCAUCAAUAUCAAUCCAUUUUGCAACAUUCACCUCCUCACCCAAAAAUAAUCUGGAAUCUGCAAGUCAAAAUGUGGCAUUGUCCUUGAAAGUACUCUAUAAGCUGAAAUUAACGCAGUACUUAUAUUUCACUAAUUUUGUGAGUGCACCAUUAAAUUGCCCCCCCCCCCUCGAAAAUAAAAAUGGGGGCUGAAUAAAUUUAAUCACUCGACCUCUGAUGAAAUAGAAACUACACCUAAAAAACAAAAAAAAAUCACAAUGAUGCACCUCGACUUUCUAAAUUUACUAUUUACACAAUGUACAGUACCCAUGAUAAAACUAAGAACAAUGUCACAUUUGGCUUGCAAAUAAGGGUUCCUUGACAUUUGCUCCUGAGACGAUUGCUCUUGAGAAAGAUCCUUAAUGAAGCCAAACAUAACCCUGACCUCUAACCCAAUGCUAAUCCUACACCCAUGUCAUAACACUAACCCUAUAAGGAAAGAGCAAUUGACCCAGAAGC
Molecule: RNA transcript, 3679 nt
Organism: Lytechinus pictus (painted urchin)
Lineage: Eukaryota; Metazoa; Echinodermata; Echinoidea; Temnopleuroida; Toxopneustidae
Gene name: soluble scavenger receptor cysteine-rich domain-containing protein SSC5D-like
Exons: 4
Source: RefSeq, a predicted model, not a curated record